AUGUCUGCUAAAUAUCAAAAUUUCUGUGUCACUUAUUUUGUAGUGUGCAUCCAAUUUAGAACUUUAUGUAUCAGGUUGAUUUGGUCAUUGAUCUUAUUUAGUUUUAUUCAUGUUGCUUGGAGUAAUAUUUUGGCACAAAAACCUGUCCAUUUCAAUCAUUCUCUUGUUUAUAUUAUUCAUGUAGAAGGAAUUAUUUUCUUACUUUAUUUGUACAUUCAUUCUGAUUUUCUAACAGUACUAGACCUUUUUUUUUCAAGUAGCUGUUCUUCCAUUCAGAUCCAUAAUAAGAUUCUGAAAAGCUAG
RNAcentral lists this ribosomal RNA (303 nucleotides) under Triticum aestivum (bread wheat). RNAcentral describes it as "partial small subunit ribosomal RNA". The record is from RNAcentral. Lineage: Eukaryota; Viridiplantae; Streptophyta; Magnoliopsida; Poales; Poaceae.